This 1416-nucleotide ribosomal RNA is filed under the name metagenome. RNAcentral describes it as "bacterial LSU rRNA". It matches the Rfam family "Bacterial large subunit ribosomal RNA", at positions 1536 to 2925 of the family's 2925-position model. The record is from RNAcentral.
CAAAAAUCCGGAAGCUCACUACCCUGAGACGUGAUGACGAGUUGGCCCUUGUGGUCGAUGAAGUAGCUGAUGCCAUGCUUCCAGGAAAAUCUUCUAAGCUUCAGGUAAUUGACGACCGUACUGUAAACCGACACAGGUGAUCUGGUAGAGAAUACCAAGGCGCUUGAGAGAACUUGGGUGAAGGAACUAGGCAAAAUAGUACCGUAACUUCGGGAGAAGGUACGCUCCUUUAGGUGAAGUCCUUGCGACGUAAGCCUGAGGGAGUCGAAGAAACCAGGUAGCUGCAACUGUUUAUUAAAAACACAGCACUCUGCAAACACGUAAGUGGACGUAUAGGGUGUGACGCCUGCCCGGUGCCGGAAGGUUAAUUGAUGGGGUCAGCGCAAGCGAAGCUCUUGAUCGAAGCCCCGGUAAACGGCGGCCGUAACGAUAACGGUCCUAAGGUAGCGAAAUUCCUUGUCGGGUAAGUUCCGACCUGCACGAAUGGCGUAAUGAUGGCUACACUGUCUCCACCCAAGACUCAGUGAAAUUGAAAUCGCUGUUAAGAUGCAGUGUACCCGCGGCUAGACGGAAAGACCCCGUGAACCUUUACUAUAGCUUCACAUUGGACUUUGAUAUUACUUGUGUAGGAUAGCUGGGAGACUUUGAAGCCGGGACGCCAGUUCCGGUGGAGUCAACCUUGAAAUACCAGCCUGGUGAUGUUGGGGUUCUAACUUAGGUCCAUUAUCUGGAUUGAGGACAAUGUGUGGUGGGUAGUUUGACUGGGGCGGUCUCCUCCUAAAGAGUAACGGAGGAGCACGAAGGUACCCUAAUUGCGGUUGGAAAUCGCAAGGUUUGUGCAUAGGCAUAAGGGUGCUUGACUGCGAGACUGACAAGUCGAGCAGGUGCGAAAGCAGGUCUAAGUGAUCCGGUGGUUCUGAAUGGAAGGGCCAUCGCUCAACGGAUAAAAGGUACUCCGGGGAUAACAGGCUGAUACCGCCCAAGAGUUCACAUCGACGGCGGUGUUUGGCACCUCGAUGUCGGCUCAUCACAUCCUGGGGCUGAAGCCGGUCCCAAGGGUAUGGCUGUUCGCCAUUUAAAGUGGUACGCGAGCUGGGUUUAGAACGUCGUGAGACAGUUCGGUCCCUAUCUGCCGUGGGCGUUGGAGAUUUGAGAAGAGUUGUUCCUAGUACGAGAGGACCGGAAUGAACGGACCCCUGGUGUUCGGGUUGUGUCGCCAGACGCAUUGCCCGGUAGCUAUGUCCGGACGGGAUAACCGCUGAAAGCAUCUAAGCGGGAAGCCCCCUUCAAGACUAGAUCUCCCUGGGACUUUAAGUCCCCUAAAGAGCCGUUGAAGACGACGACGUUGAUAGGCUGGGUGUGUAAGGGCUGCGAGGCCUUGAGCUAACCAGUACUAAUUGCUCGUGAGGCUUGAAC